This 309-nucleotide long non-coding RNA is filed under the name Physcomitrium patens. RNAcentral describes it as "long non-coding RNA (PPAT_LNC006581)". Lineage: Eukaryota; Viridiplantae; Streptophyta; Bryopsida; Funariales; Funariaceae. The record is from RNAcentral.
UAUAAUGUUAAUUUGAGACAAAUUGAACGGUUAGAUCAAGAGUUAUGAUUUUGUAAAGUUCAAAAUAAAAAAAUUCUUCGAGGAAAAAAUAUAUUUUGAAGGGGUUUUGUUAUAUUUUGAGUUUUAUGCAAAAUAAGAGAGUUUUAGUAGGCUAAUACAAGAUUCAUAUAAAGAUUUAAGAUACACUCUCUAUAGCUAGAUACCCAAUGUAUUCCCAAAUAGCAAAUCAUGUCAUACGACAAUGUAGCCACGUAGCUCCUAGUUAGAUAGUAUAUAUAGAGACAAGACUGAAUGUCACGGCCAUAAUCA